Molecule: ribosomal RNA, 59 nt
Filed under: Filobasidium magnum
Lineage: Eukaryota; Fungi; Basidiomycota; Tremellomycetes; Filobasidiales; Filobasidiaceae
Description: partial 26S ribosomal RNA
Rfam family: Eukaryotic large subunit ribosomal RNA
Source: RNAcentral
UCUGGCCUCAAAUCAAGUAGGACUACCCGCUGAACUUAAGCAUAUCAAUAAGCGGAGGA